GAGAUAUCCCAUGAAGAUAAUUCAGUAAGACCCCUUGAAGACGACGAGGUAGAUAGGGCGGAGGUGGAAGUGCAGUAAUGUAUGGAGCUGACCGUCACUAAUAGGUCGAGGGCAUAACCAA
Ribosomal RNA from Lachnospiraceae bacterium M18-1, 121 nucleotides. It matches the Rfam family "Bacterial large subunit ribosomal RNA", at positions 2806 to 2925 of the family's 2925-position model. The record is from Rfam. Lineage: Bacteria; Bacillati; Bacillota; Clostridia; Lachnospirales; Lachnospiraceae.